This 424-nucleotide ribosomal RNA is filed under the name uncultured bacterium. Its description in RNAcentral is "partial 16S ribosomal RNA". It matches the Rfam family "Bacterial small subunit ribosomal RNA", at positions 359 to 775 of the family's 1533-position model. The record is from RNAcentral.
GAAUAUUGGACAAUGGGGGAAACCCUGAUCCAGCCAUGCCGCGUGUGUGAAGAAGGUCUUCGGAUUGUAAAGCACUUUAAGGUGGGAGGAAGGGCGUCAAGCUAAUACCUUGAUGUUUUGACGUUACCAACAGAAUAAGCACCGGCUAACUCUGUGCCCGCAGCCGCGGUAAUACAGAGGGGGCAAGCGUUAAUCGGAAUUACUGGGCGUAAAGCGGGCGGAGUUGGUUCGUUAAGUUGGAUGUUAAAACCCCGGGCUCAACCUGGGAACUGCAUCCAAAACUGGCGAGCUAGAGUAGGGCAGAGGAGGGUGGAAUUUCCUGUGUAGCGGUGAAAUGCGUAGAUAUAGGGAGGAACACCAGUGGCGAAGGCGACCACCUGGGCUCAUACUGACACUGAGGUGCGAAAGCGUGGGGAGCAAACAG